This 468-nucleotide ribosomal RNA is filed under the name uncultured bacterium. RNAcentral describes it as "partial 16S ribosomal RNA". It matches the Rfam family "Bacterial small subunit ribosomal RNA", at positions 28 to 507 of the family's 1533-position model. The record is from RNAcentral.
GACGAACGCUGGCGGCGUGCUUAACACAUGCAAGUCGAACGGAAAGGCCCUGCUUUUGUGGGGUGCUCGAGUGUCGAACGGGUGAGUAACACGUGAGUAACCUGCCCUUGACUUUGGGAUAACUUCAGGAAACUGGGGCUAAUACCGGAUAGGAGCUCCUGCUGCAUGGUGGGGGUUGGAAAGUUUCGGCGGUUGGGGAUGGACUCGCGGCUUAUCAGCUUGUUGGUGGGGUAGUGGCUUACCAAGGCUUUGACGGGUAGCCGGCCUGAGAGGGUGACCGGCCACAUUGGGACUGAGAUACGGCCCAGACUCCUACGGGAGGCAGCAGUGGGGAAUAUUGCACAAUGGGCGGAAGCCUGAUGCAGCAACGCCGCGUGCGGGAUGACGGCCUUCGGGUUGUAAACCGCUUUCGCCUGUGACGAAGCUUGAGUGACGGUAAUGGGUAAAGAAGCACCGGCUAACUACGUG